Molecule: ribosomal RNA, 497 nt
Filed under: Pediococcus pentosaceus
Lineage: Bacteria; Bacillati; Bacillota; Bacilli; Lactobacillales; Lactobacillaceae
Description: bacterial SSU rRNA
Rfam family: Bacterial small subunit ribosomal RNA
Source: RNAcentral
UAACACGAAGUGAGUGGCGAACGGGUGAGUAACACGUGGGUAACCUGCCCAGAAGUAGGGGAUAACACCUGGAAACAGAUGCUAAUACCGUAUAACAGAGAAAACCGCAUGGUUUUCUUUUAAAAGAUGGCUCUGCUAUCACUUCUGGAUGGACCCGCGGCGUAUUAGCUAGUUGGUGAGGUAAAGGCUCACCAAGGCAGUGAUACGUAGCCGACCUGAGAGGGUAAUCGGCCACAUUGGGACUGAGACACGGCCCAGACUCCUACGGGAGGCAGCAGUAGGGAAUCUUCCACAAUGGACGCAAGUCUGAUGGAGCAACGCCGCGUGAGUGAAGAAGGGUUUCGGCUCGUAAAGCUCUGUUGUUAAAGAAGAACGUGGGUAAGAGUAACUGUUUACCCAGUGACGGUAUUUAACCAGAAAGCCACGGCUAACUACGUGCCAGCAGCCGCGGUAAUACGUAGGUGGCAAGCGUUAUCCGGAUUUAUUGGGCGUAAAGC